GGCAAUUUUAAGUGUACCCGCAGAGUUCACCACGAUGGCUGGCCGCCGCUUACGCUCGGCGGUACGA
Molecule: non-coding RNA, 67 nt
Filed under: Thraustochytrium sp. LLF1b
Lineage: Eukaryota; Bigyra; Thraustochytrida; Thraustochytriidae
Source: RNAcentral